RNAcentral lists this ribosomal RNA (492 nucleotides) under uncultured bacterium. RNAcentral's name for it is "partial 16S ribosomal RNA". It matches the Rfam family "Bacterial small subunit ribosomal RNA", at positions 29 to 507 of the family's 1533-position model. The record is from RNAcentral.
AGUGAACGCUGGCGGUAGGCCUAACACAUGCAAGUCGAACGGCAGCACAGUAAGAGCUUGCUCUUACGGGUGGCGAGUGGCGGACGGGUGAGGAAUACAUCGGAAUCUACUUUUUCGUGGGGGAUAACGUAGGGAAACUUACGCUAAUACCGCAUACGACCUACGGGUGAAAGCAGGGGACCUUCGGACCUUGCGCGAGUGAAUGAGCCGAUGUCGGAUUAGCUAGUUGGCGGGGUAAAGGCCCACCAAGGCGACGAUCCGUAGCUGGUCUGAGAGGAUGAUCAGCCACACUGGAACUGAGACACGGUCCAGACUCCUACGGGAGGCAGCAGUGGGGAAUAUUGGACAAUGGGCGCAAGCCUGAUCCAGCCAUACCGCGUGGGUGAAGAAGGCCUUCGGGUUGUAAAGCCCUUUUGUUGGGAAAGAAAAGCAGCAGGUUAAUACCCCGCUGUUCUGACGGUACCCAAAGAAUAAGCACCGGCUAACUUCGUG